UACGGAGGAUCCUAGCGUUAUCCGGAUUUAUUGGGUUUAAAGGGUGCGCAGGCGGAAUUAUAAGUCAGUGGUGAAAUCCUGCAGCUUAACUGCAGAACUGCCAUUGAUACUGUUAUUCUUGAGUAUAUUUGAAGUGGGCGGAAUGUGUCAUGUAGCGGUGAAAUGCUUAGAUAUGACACAGAACACCAAUUGCGAAGGCAGCUCACUAAACUAUAACUGACGCUCAUGCACGAAAGCGUGGGGAUCAAACAGG
RNAcentral lists this ribosomal RNA (253 nucleotides) under uncultured bacterium. RNAcentral describes it as "partial 16S ribosomal RNA". It matches the Rfam family "Bacterial small subunit ribosomal RNA", at positions 524 to 776 of the family's 1533-position model. The record is from RNAcentral.